GACGAACGCUGGCGGCGUGCCUAACACAUGCAAGUCGAGCGAAUGAAGUUCCUUCGGGAACGGAUUUAGCGGCGGACGGGUGAGUAACACGUGGGCAACCUGCCUCAUAGAGGGGAAUAGCCUUCCGAAAGGGAGAUUAAUACCGCAUAAGAUUGUAGUACCGCAUGGUACAGCAAUUAAAGGAGCAAUCCGCUAUGAGAUGGGCCCGCGGCGCAUUAGCUAGUUGGUGAGGUAACGGCUCACCAAGGCGACGAUGCGUAGCCGACCUGAGAGGGUGAUCGGCCACAUUGGGACUGAGACACGGCCCAGGACUCCUACGGGAGGCAGCAGUGGGGAAUAUUGCACAAUGGGGGAAACCCUGAUGCAGCAACGCCGCGUGAGUGAUGACGG
Molecule: ribosomal RNA, 390 nt
Filed under: uncultured bacterium
Lineage: Bacteria
Description: bacterial SSU rRNA
Rfam family: Bacterial small subunit ribosomal RNA
Source: RNAcentral